GGAGUUUUACGCGCCGUGGUGUGGUCAUUGUAAGGAACUUGCACCGGAGUACGCAGCUGCAGCGACGGAGCUGAAAUCGGAGAAUGUGCCGCUGGUUAAAGUUGAUGCUACGGUGGAGAAUGAGCUAGCGGAGAGUUAUGAGGUUCAAGGAUUUCCUACUAUUUAUUUUUUUGUUGAUGGUGAGCAUAAAACUUACAGUGGCCAAAGAACCAAAGAUGCAAUUGUGACUUGGAUCAAGAAGAAGAUUGGACCUGGCGUUUACAAUAUAACUACAACAGAGGACGCAGAGCGUGUACUAACGUCUGGAGACAAAGUCGUGUUAGGGUUCCUUGAGUCCUUGGUGGGUCCUGAAACUGAUCAACUUGCUGCUGCUUCAAAACUUGAGGAUGAUCUUAACUUUUACCAGACGACAAAUCCUAACGUGGCUAAGCUAUUCAAUGUUGAAGACACUGUUAAACGCCCAGCUUUAGUCUUGCUUAAAAAAGAAGAGGAGAAAGUGGUGCAUUAUGAUGGUCAAUUCACCAAGUCUGCAAUAGUUAAGUUUGUAUCUGCCAACAAGCUUCCUCUAGUAACAGUUUUUACUAGAGAAAGUGGAGCUUCGAUUUUCUCGAGUCCUAUAAAGAAGCAGGUUUUGCUCUUUGCCCGAACAAAUGAUACAGAUAAAGUAUUCCCAACAUUUCAAGAAGCUGCAAAACAUUUUAAGGGAAAGCUUAUCUUUGUUUUUGUCAACAUGGAUGAUGAAGAAGUUGGAAAGCCUGUGUCAGAUUAUUUUGGAGCCACCGGAGAUUCUCCAAAGGUUAUCGGAUAUACAGGAAACGAGAAUCCUAGGAAAUACAUAUUUGAUGGGGAGAUCACUGUUGAGAAGCUUAAGGCAUUUGGAGAAGAUUUUCUGGCUGACAAGCUCAAAGCUUUUUAUAAAUCAGACCCUAUUCCUGAGGAUAAUGAGGGGGACGUGAAGAUAGUAGUGGGGAACAAUUUUGAUGACAUUGUUCUGGAUGAGUCAAAAGAUGUGCUUCUGGAGAUAUAUGCACCAUGGUGUGGGCAUUGCCAAUCUCUAGAACCAACGUAUAACAAGCUUGCAAAGCACUUACGUGGCAUUGAGUCUCUUGUUAUAGCCAAAAUGGAUGGUACCACGAAUGAGCACCCUCAGGGAAAGGCUGAAGGAUUUCCCACACUCCUCUUCUUCCCAGCAGGGAACAAGACCGCGGAUCCAAUCCCAGUUGAUUCUGACCGAACUGUAGUGGCAUUGUACAAGUUUAUCAAGAAACACGCAACUAUUCCUUUCAAGCUUCAAAAACCAGCUUCAUCGACAACUACAUCAGAGAGUCCGGAAGCCAAAGUAGGUGGCAACGUUGAGUCGAAGAAUGAAAAAGAUGAACUAUGAAAGUUACAUAGCUCUGUUACUUUAUCUUCUCUGUUAUUCUUCUAGCUAGCUUGUUUUGUAGUAGGAGUAGAUAGACUGGGCUACGAAGAUGGCCAUGGAACAUAUUUUGUUAUUUCUUUUUUGCUUUGAGUUUAAAGUUUAAUGUCCUUCUAUGAAUGAUAAGUUAUAUAUAUGUCUUAAUUUCUAUAUCAUUAGGUUAUUUUUACUUGCUGUAGUAGCAAAUGUACCAAAAACAUUACAAGUAUGAAUGUAAU
This 1638-nucleotide unclassified non-coding RNA is filed under the name Hevea brasiliensis (rubber tree). The record is from RNAcentral. Lineage: Eukaryota; Viridiplantae; Streptophyta; Magnoliopsida; Malpighiales; Euphorbiaceae.